UGCAGGCAGAAGAAAGAGCAGAAGGGAACAUUCCGUGUCACAGCGGGACUCUGGAAUCCACCUGCCAGGAGACUUAACAACGCGGCGCUGCGUCACACACCUCCUGGGUCCCCCCAUUAUAUUGUCCCCACCCCCGGCACAUGCAAAUGAGCUCCCCGGGGCCCUGUUCAUAGCCCAGUCCCGGCCGCUCACCCCGCUCAGAGCCAGCGCCGGGCUUCAGCUUCCCAUCCCGCCUGGGGACCGAGCCGCCAGCCGCAGCCAUGACCCCCAGCCUGGCCAUCGCCUUCCUCCUGUUGCUCCCCGCGGGUGUCUAUUCCCAGGUCAGCCUGGUGGAGUCCGGAGGGGGAGUCAAGAAACCUGGAGAGACCCUCAGACUGACCUGCACCGUGUCCGGAUUCUCUCUCACUAGCUACGCGGUGCACUGGGCCCGCCAGCCAGCGGGAAAAGGGCUGGAAUCGAUGGGAGGUAUCUGGGCUGAUGGAAGCACUAACUAUAACGAUGCUCUCAAAAGUCGACUCGCCAUCACAAGAGACACCUCCAAAGGCCACGUAUCCCUCCAACUGACCGGUCUGCAGCCCGGGGACACCUCCGUGUAUUACUGUGUCAGAUACGCACUGUGUGAAAAUCCUAUUAAAGCCUGCACUAAAACUAACCUUGCGGAGAACCAGUCUGGGUUUAUGAGCCCCAGGGAGGAGCAGCUGCCAACACUGCUUCUGCCUUGUGUUACAAGCACUCCAGAAUCUAACCCCUUAGCACUGAAAGGCAGCCAUUGCAUCAGAGCUCCCAAGGCUGGUAGUGGAACCCAGGAGUCCUGGCUGCUGCAUUUAAUCUCUGGUGUCCCUAAGAAAUGA
Non-coding RNA from Mauremys reevesii (Reeves's turtle), 851 nucleotides. The record is from the annotation of a RefSeq genome assembly. NCBI's taxonomy places the organism in Eukaryota, Metazoa, Chordata, Testudines, Geoemydidae.